GUGGGGAAUAUUGCACAAUGGGCGAAAGCCUGAUGCAGCGACGCCGCGUGAGGGAUGACGGCCUUCGGGUUGUAAACCUCUUUCAGUAGGGAACAAGGCCAGUGUUUAGCUGGUUGAGGGUACUUGCAGAAGAAGCGCCGGCUAACUACGUGCCAGCAGCCGCGGUAAUACGUAGGGCGCAAGCGUUAUCCGGAAUUAUUGGGCGUAAAGAGCUCGUAGGCGGUUUGUCGCGUCUGCCGUGAAAGUCCGGGGCUCAACUCCGGAUCUGCGGUGGGUACGGGCAGACUAGAGUGAUGUAGGGGAGACUGGAAUUCCUGGUGUAGCGGUGAAAUGCGCAGAUAUCAGGAGGAACACCGAUGGCGAAGGCAGGUCUCUGGGCAUUAACUGACGCUGAGGAGCGAAAGCAUGGGAGCGAACAGGAUUAGAAACCCUGGUAGUCC
This 440-nucleotide ribosomal RNA is filed under the name uncultured bacterium. RNAcentral's name for it is "partial 16S ribosomal RNA". It matches the Rfam family "Bacterial small subunit ribosomal RNA", at positions 354 to 796 of the family's 1533-position model. The record is from RNAcentral.